GCGAACAAGUACCGUGAGGGAAAGGUGAAAAGCACCCCGAUGAGGGGAGUGAAACAGUACCUGAAACCGAAUGCUUACAAUCAGUUGGAGGGUCCUUGAGGCCUGACAGCGUACCUCUUGUAUAAUGGGUCAGUGACUUAAUCUAUCAAGCGAGCUUAAGCCGUUAGGUGUAGGCGCAGCGAAAGCGAGUCUGAACAGGGCGACUGAGUUUGAUGGAUUAGACCCGAAACCCGGCGAUCUAGGCAUGACCAGGCUGAAGGUGCGGUAACACGCACUGGAGGGCCGAACCGUUUAAUGUUGAAAAAUUAUCGGAUGAGUUGUGUUUAGGGGUGAAAGGCCAAUCAAGCCGGGAAAUAGCUGGUUCUCCGCGAAAUCUAUUUAGGUAGAGCGUCGGAUGUUUACCUGUGGGGGUAGAGCACUGGAUGGGCUAGGGGGUCGCGAGAUCUACCAAACCUAACCAAACUCCGAAUACCACAGAGUUAGUCCGGCAGACAGACGGCGGGUGCUAAGGUCCGUCGUCAAAAGGGAAACAGCCCUAACCUACAGCUAAGGUCCCCAAAUCGUAUCUAAGUGGGAAAGCAUGUGGGAUUUCCAAAACAACCAGGAGGUUGGCUUAGAAGCAGCCAUCCUUUAAAGAAAGCGUAACAGCUCACUGGUCUAAAUAAGAGAUCCUGCGGCGAAAAUGUAACGGGGCUCAAGAUACGUACCGAAGCUUAGGGUGUGCAUUUAUGCACGCGGUAGCGGAGCGUUCCGUAAGCCUGUGAAGCGGGAGGGUAACCGACCGUGGAGGUAUCGGAAGUGAGAAUGCUGACAUGAGUAGCGAUAAAGAGGGUGAGAUGCCCUCUCGCCGAAAUCCCAAGGGUUCCUGCUUAAAGCUAAUCUGAGCAGGGUGAGCCGGCCCCUAAGACGAGCCCGAAGGGGGUAGUCGAUGGGAACCACGUUAAUAUUCGUGGGCCUGGAGGUGUGUGACGGAUGGCGUAAGUUGUCAGGCCUUAUUGGAUUGGUCUGGCUUCGAAGUUGUCCCAGGAAAUAGCCCCUCCGUAUAGACCGUACCCUAAACCGACACAGGUGGGAUGGUAGAGUAUACCAAGGCGCUUGAGAGAAGUGUACUGAAGGAACUCGGCAAAUUACCUCCGUAACUUCGGGAGAAGGAGGCCCCACAUAUGGGCAACCAUGUGUGGGGGGCACAAGCCAGGGGGUAGCGACUGUUUAGCAAAAACACAGGACUCUGCUAAGUCGGCUUCAAGACGACGUAUAGGGUCUGACGCCUGCCCGGUGCUGGAAGGUUAAGAGGAGGAGUGCAAGCUCUGAAUUGAAGCCCCAGUAAACGGCGGCCGUAACUAUAACGGUCCUAAGGUAGCGAAAUUCCUUGUCGGGUAAGUUCCGACCCGCACGAAAGGCGUAACGAUUUGGGUACUGUCUCGGAGAGAGACUCGGCGAAAUAGACUUGUCUGUGAAGAUGCGGACUACCUGCACCUGGACAGAAAGACCCUAUGAAGCUUUACUGUAACUUGGAAUUGGGUUUGAGCUUUUCUUGCGCAGCAUAGGUGGGAAGCUAAGAAAAUAGGUUUGCGGAUCUAUUUGAGCUAUCAGUGAGAUACCACUCUGGAAAAGCUAGAAUUCUAACCUUGAAAGCCGUUAUCCGGCCAAGGGACAGUUUCAGGUGGGCAGUUUGACUGGGGCGGUCGCCUCCUAAAGAGUAACGGAGGCGCGCGAUGGUGAGCUCAGGACGGUUGGAAACCGUCUGUUAGAGUGCAAUGGCAUAAGCUCGCCUGACUGCGAGACUGACGAGUCGAGCAGAGACGAAAGUCGGUCAUAGUGAUCCGGUGGUCCCUCGUGGAAGGGCCAUCGCUCAACGGAUAAAAGGUACGCCGGGGAUAACAGGCUGAUGAUUCCCAAGAGCUCAUAUCGACGGAAUCGUUUGGCACCUCGAUGUCGGCUCAUCACAUCCUGGGGCUGGAGCAGGUCCCAAGGGUUUGGCUGUUCGCCAAUUAAAGUGGUACGUGAGCUGGGUUCAGAACGUCGCGAGACAGUUUGGUCCCUAUCUGCCGUGGGCGUCGAUAAUUGAGAGGAGUUGACCCUAGUACGAGAGGACCGGGUUGAACAUACCUCUGGUGUACCUGUCAUUGCGCCAGCAGUGCAGCAGGGUAGCUAUGUAUGGACGGGAUAACCGCUGAAAGCAUCUAAGCGGGAAGCCCCUCCCAAGAUAAGAUCUCACUGAUACUUUAAGUAUCCUGAAGGGCCCUUGAAGACUACAAGGUUGAUAGGCUGGGUGUGGAAGCACAGCAAUGUGUGUAGCUAACCAGUACUAAUUGCCCGUGAGGCUUGAC
Molecule: ribosomal RNA, 2330 nt
Filed under: Palmaria hecatensis
Lineage: Eukaryota; Rhodophyta; Florideophyceae; Palmariales; Palmariaceae
Description: bacterial LSU rRNA
Rfam family: Bacterial large subunit ribosomal RNA
Source: RNAcentral